Non-coding RNA from Callorhinus ursinus (northern fur seal), 241 nucleotides. The record is from RefSeq and is a predicted model, not a curated record. NCBI's taxonomy places the organism in Eukaryota, Metazoa, Chordata, Mammalia, Carnivora, Otariidae.
GGAAUCAAGAGUUGGAUGCUUAACUGAGCCACCCAGGAUUUACCAAAAAUCAGAAGAAUUUACAUUGACCUAAACAACUGUUAACUUCUAUAAUCAACUAAUUACCUAAAGAAAGCACCAAGCCCAAGUAAGUCUAAUUCUUCCAGGCAAAAUGCUCAGGAAGAAUGACCAAACCCAGCGGAAAAGACGACGUGGGAAACUAGAUUUUAUUUGACAGAGACACAGAGAGGGAACACAAGCA